This 505-nucleotide long non-coding RNA is filed under the name Lathyrus oleraceus (garden pea). RNAcentral describes it as "Pisum sativum (pea) long non-coding RNA (PSAT_LNC031621)". The record is from RNAcentral. Lineage: Eukaryota; Viridiplantae; Streptophyta; Magnoliopsida; Fabales; Fabaceae.
AAAAGGGUGAUGCCUGUGGUUAGCGGCGGACGAUGGUGUUCCGGAGGAAGAUUUGGGUCUUCGGAGGAAAGGGAAAGGGUCGAAGGCGGCGAGUCGAGGGAGACACGACGGAGAUGUAGAGGCGGAAACGAAGGUGGUUGAGAAGGAGGAAACGGCGGUUUCGUGAUGGGUUUCGCGGUUGUUGUUGUUGGAUAACCGGCGAUGGAAGAUGGAUCGUUUUCGGCGGUGAGUUGAGGGUGGUCGCCGCGAUAUAUAUUGUAACGUGUUCGUCGGCAGUGAGGUUGUAUCGUUGACGGAGUUGUGUUUUGAGGAAGAGGAAAGUUUGGCGAUGGAAAGGAGUGGCCGACGUAGGUUUGUGACGCGUGGUAACUGGUGUUGCCUGUGGAGAAGGAAGUCCAGAGGAAGCAGAUGAACCGUCUGUUUUAUUUAUUUAUUUUUUCUUUUCCUUUUUCUUUUUCUUUAUGUUCAGAGAGAAAGAGAGUUUUUUUUUAGGUAUUGGUGUAUG